AUCUCUUGGUUCUGGCAUCGAUGAAGAACGCAGCGAAAUGCGAUAAGUAAUGGUGAAUUGCAAAAAUUCAGGUGAAUCAUCGAAUCUUUGAACGCACAUUGCGCCCCUCGGUAUUCCGGGGGGCAUGCCUGUUCGAGCGUCAUU
Molecule: ribosomal RNA, 144 nt
Filed under: Rhizoplaca chrysoleuca
Lineage: Eukaryota; Fungi; Ascomycota; Lecanoromycetes; Lecanorales; Lecanoraceae
Description: 5.8S ribosomal RNA
Rfam family: 5.8S ribosomal RNA
About the family: 5.8S ribosomal RNA (5.8S rRNA) is a component of the large subunit of the eukaryotic ribosome. It is transcribed by RNA polymerase I as part of the 45S precursor that also contains 18S and 28S rRNA.
Source: RNAcentral